RNAcentral lists this ribosomal RNA (372 nucleotides) under uncultured organism. Its description in RNAcentral is "bacterial SSU rRNA". It matches the Rfam family "Bacterial small subunit ribosomal RNA", at positions 526 to 896 of the family's 1533-position model. The record is from RNAcentral.
CAGAGGGUGCAAACGUUGUUCGGAAUUACUGGGCGUAAAGCGCGUGUAGGCGGCUAUGUAAGUCGGGCGUGAAAUCCCACGGCUCAACCGUGGAAGUGCACCCGAAACUGCGUAGCUAGAGUCCUGGAGAGGAAGGUGGAACGCUUGGUGUAGAGGUGAAAUUCGUAGAUAUCAAGCGGAACACCGGUGGCGAAGGCGGCCUUCUGGACAGUGACUGACGCUGAGACGCGAAAGCGUGGGGAGCAAACAGGAUUAGAUACCCUGGUAGUCCACGCCGUAAACGAUGAGUGCUAGGUGUCACGGGCUUUGACCCUCGUGGUGCCGAAGCUAACGCGUUAAGCACUCCGCCUGGGGAGUACGGCCGCAAGGCUA